UUUUUUUUUUUUUUUUUUGCUUUCUCUCUCUCUCUCUCUUUCAUAAAUUAGAGAUGGAGUCUCACUAUAUUGCCCAGGCUAGUCUCAAAUUCCUGGCCUUAAGUGAUCCUCCCACCUCGUAAUCUACUUUUUGGGGACUAAUGAGGUGUAGCCAAAAUACAACAUGUGGGAGGCAGUAAAUGUAGAGAUUAGGAGUAGAUUUGGCAAGCCAGACUGCUGUGGUCACACCCCAGCACAGAAUUUAUGAAUCCGGCUCCUCUCCAUUCAAAUCUCUGCCAAAAAUCACCUCCUUCUGGAGGCCCACCAUGACUAUUCUAUUUAAUACAGCUUACCCCACUGCCCUAUCACUCUCUACACCAUUCUCAUUUUAUUAUGCUCAGAGUAUCUAUUAUUCUCCGAAGAAGCAUUUCUUGAAAUCUAGCUGGUAAUCUUCUUUCCUUAUUAGAAUGUAAGCUCCAUGAGAGCAGGGAUCUCUCUGUAUCAGAAUCUGUAUUGUGCUUGGUAGGUAGUUGACUCAAUAAACAUUUCUGAGUGAAUGAAUAUAUUAUAUGGAAAUUGAAGAAUACAAGCUUCUCCACAUAAGCACGUGGCAGAAAAGACAAAAAGAGAGGUAGAGAAAAAGACUCUCUUUUUAUUUAAGCUUCCCUCCCCUGUUGAAAUCCACUACUCCAAAAAAGGGAGACACUGACCAAAACAGAAACAAAAGAAACUAAUUCUUGGUUUUUAUGCUUCCUGAUAAUUUAAGGGAUUUUCAUAGAUAGGUUUGACAAAUGCAAUUUUUUUGCCUUAGGCACUGGCACUAGAAACUAUUAAUAAACAAGAUUGGCCUACAGAGGGUGCUAGUUCUCUUCAAAAAAGUAAAAGAAGUGCAUGCGCUUUUCCACUGGGUCUGGGAAAGAGUUUACAAAACAAGCAGAGACACAGCUUAGUAACAACUAAUGAAACGUCUAAAUUGCCACAUUUUGCUUCAUAAAAAAAAAAAAAGGAGGAAUCUGUGAAAGUGCCAGAGGCAUUCAAAGACGUCCCCUGAGGAAAAGAAUUGGCAUCAUUUUUCAAAUGCAAAGAGAAGCUAAGCUAAGAGAAGCAUCCAUUUAAAAAGUUUUUUUAGUUCUUAUUUUUGAUAGAGAAGGGGUAUCACUAUGUUGACUGGCCUGAUUUUGAACUCGGAGGCUCAAAGGAUCCUCUGCCCCUCAGAGUGCUUGGAUUGCAGGUGUGAGCUACCAAGAGAGGCAUCCAGAAGUUGAAAAGACUGAAUCUGUUGUGAAACAGAAGACCCAGGUCGGGGGAAGUUGUUGCCAGCCCUGGAGGGAGGAGAGGUGACAGGCCUCUGCCACAUUCCACCCCCACUUCAUGCUGGGACAUGGGGACCUGGAGACCUAGUGUGAGAUGCCUGUAGACUCUGUAACUGGAGGAGUGUUCUGACAGCUGUGUUUCCUGAAACUGAGUCUUGGUUUCAGAGUUCAGCAAGGGAUAUGCAUGGUGGUGGUAGCGUUGGGACAGAAGCGGGGCACUACUUGAGAGUUUUGAAAUAUGUAAUUUGUCACAGCAAGGACAAGGGCAAGUGAGCCUGGCAGGAGGGAGGAGCCUCUUCAAAGUCUGGAUCUGCAAAAAAAAUCUUCAGAAGAGGAAAUGAAACAAAUAAGCGAGUUCUUAAAAAAGCUUUUGAGCUCUCUAAAUGAGCAAUAGUUGAGGCAGCUUUGAUAGUCCAAAGCUAACCUCAAGGCUGAGAUUCUUAAUCCUAGUACUCUAGACGUCAUAUUCCAGUGAUCAGAUGCAGAAUCCAUAAGUGCUCUGACAGGUCUUAUCAUUAUGUGUGGUGUUUUCACUUAGUGAGUGCCCUUGUUUUGUCAGUUCAAGGUGGCUUGCUUAGUUACUUUAUUGUAAUGUUCAAUGGCUAAACUUUAAACAAAAAUCAAUAAAGGGCAAGGAAUGAGUUUGCAAAAACUAUCAGCCACUUCCCUCAAUUUAAUUGUAAAAUCAAUCAAAUCUGUUUUUUGGCACAGUGCAAGGAAAACAUCUAUUUGUCCAAUAAACUGUCUCAUUGAUUAAAUGGUUCAUUUGGAAGAGAUAACAAAAGUCUAAGAUUUUAAUCUCAAGGAAAAAUGUAUCUUGCAAACAUGUUUUCAAGAUCCUGAGAUCAUAUUAUUUUCCUUUAAGGAUUUGCUUCAUCCCAGGUGUUCAUCUAAUCCUACUUUUGCUAUUUUUAAUCAUUAUUCAUCUAUGUAAAAUGGAAAAUCUAUUUAGAUGCUUAAAAGUCAACGUAAGCUCACAAACCUGAAUUUCAGCAACUAAAAAGGGAGAAGUAAUAAUGAUUCAGUUCUUACUGGGAGCUACUUUAUACACUAUUUUAUUUGGACCUCAUAACAACUAUAUGAGAGAGAACUGUGCACUCUCUGCCAGGGGUUAGGGUUAACAUAAAGCCAAAACCCAGGCAGGUCACGAAAAUGAGCAAAGCAGGCCAGUUAUGAGUGCUGUCACCUUACAAGGAGGUGGAAACAAUGUUUCCGGAUCCUGUUUCUUAAGAGAAGCCAAAAGAUUUACGUAAAGUCUCCUGAUUUUUUUUCAAUGGUGGUAAUUGAUUAAAAUAAAUAUUUCCAAUACUGUAUGUACUGAAUAAAGAAAAUUUGGGGCUGACCCUGGCCCAGCAACUGCCACUUAGCAAUGUCUGGUAUUGAAGUGAAAAUAAGGCUCAGGGCUGGGCACGGUGGCUCAUGCCUGUAAUCCUAGCACUUUAGGAGGCCAUGGUGGGCAGAUUGCUUGAACCCAGGAGUUCCAGACUAGCCUGGGCAACAUGAUGAAAUCCUGUCUCUACAAAAAGUACCAAAAAAAAUCAGCCAAGCAUGGUGGCAGGCACCUGUAGUCUCAGCUACUUGGGAGGCUGAGGUGGGAGGAUUGCUUGAGUCCAGGAGGCCGAGGUUGCAGUGAGCUGAGAUUACACUACUACACUUCUGCCUGGGCAACAGAGCAAGACUCUGUCUCAAAAAGAAAAGGCUCAGGAAGGUGACAUCACUAUGCUAAUUCAAGGAGGAAUGAAAGAGUGACCUCAUGGGACAGUAGAUCAGAGAAUGUUCUACCUGGUGGCCAGCCUAUUUGUGGGGAGGGGUCCCUAAGAAGAGGCUGUAUGCUGGCUUGGGUUAUGGAGGGCCAAAGCUCAGGGGCCUGGGGGAAGGAGAGAAGCUUAACCAAAGUUUGGCUAACAGGCAUUUUGUUCUGAUUGAUCAGUGGUGACAAGCAGUUCAGCUAGUCAUUUAGGAGGUCAAAAACAGAAGACUGGAAGAUCCCUAUCUAGUUUUGUCAUCAGUAGACAAAGGGGCACUCAUGAAACUUGUCUAAGUCAUACGGGGAAGGGUGGCCCCUUGCAGUAAGUCAUUUUCCAGAACGUAAAAGGGCAAUGGGCUUUCUUAACCUUCAGGUAAAAUUCCACUUUGUCAAAACAUAAGCAUGAUGUAGACAAAGGUUGAGAGUGAGAUCAGGCUUAUUGCCCAGUCUUAAGCCAUUUAAACCCAAGGUGGACUUUCCCCUCAGGAAAGAAGGGAAGGAAAGAAGCUAGGAAGGCCCUGGCUAGGUUCUGUGUGGGUUGGGGAAUGUGAAUCCUGAUGGAGCAGCCUAAAGAAGUCAAGCAGUCCUGUAGCAGCAGCCGUGGGGGAGGUUCCUCCUGGGAGUGGAGGAGGGCGAGUGCUGCAGGUCCAUCAGUGGAAAUGGGAAUGGACCAUUAGGCGGAGAAGACUUAUCGAAGCUGCGAAGUCCAAGAUCAAGGUGCCAGCAGAUUCUGUUCCUGGUGAAGGCUAUCUUCCUGUUUUGCAGGUGGCUACCUUCUCGCUGUGUCCUCAUAUGGUGGAGAGUGAGACUUCAUCUAAAAAGAAAAAAAAAAACCCACUCCGGACAUAGUGACUGUAGCUGGGUCUUGGACUGCAAGAAGACCAUCCUGCAGUGAGCACAGGGAGGAGGAGGUGCAUGCAAGCGAUACUGCAGGGCCAGAAUCAGAAUCAUCAGCACGUAGCAACUGAUUGGAUUUCUGGAGCAAGAAAGAAGAGUUGAAGAUAAUGUUGAACUUUCUCAUUGGGAGAUUUUACUAACAUUAUUGAGCAAUUACUGCAUGAUGGAUGUUACGCUAAGAGCAUUCUACAAUUAUUAUACCUCUUACGUCUCCCAGUAGUUCUGUUAAGUAAGUACUAUUGUUUUUGUUUUAGAGACAGAGUCGGCUCUGCCACUCAGGCUGUAGUCCAGUGGUGCAAUCUCAGCUUACCAUAGCCUCGGGCUCAAGCGAUCCUCCCACCUCAGCUCCCCAAGUAGCUGUGGUCCCAGCUGGCUCCAUAUGAAAAGCCUCUUGCUUCCUUAAUUACUAACCAAUGGUAAUAGUUUUUUUCUUUUUUGUUUUUUUCAAGAGACAAGGUCUUGCUCUGUCACCCAGGCUGGAGUGCAGUGGUGGUAACAUAGCUCACUGCAGCCUUGAACUCCUGGGCUCAAGGGAUCCUCCCACCUCCGCCUCCUGAGUAGCUGGGACUACAGGCAUAUGCCACCAUGCCCAGCUAAUUUUCAAAUAUUUUGUAGAGACCAGGGUCUUGCUAAUUGCCCAGGCUGGUCUUGAACUCUUACCUCAAGCAAUACUCCUGCCUCAGCCUCCCAAAGUGCUAGUACUUCAGGUGUGAGCCACCACCCCCGGUG
RNAcentral lists this long non-coding RNA (4665 nucleotides) under Homo sapiens (human). RNAcentral describes it as "HSALNT0369794". The record is from RNAcentral. Lineage: Eukaryota; Metazoa; Chordata; Mammalia; Primates; Hominidae.